UUUGUUGUGAAUAAAUGGCUGGAGGAAACUUCGGACAUAUUUUUGAAGAAAUGCCUAUGAAACUUCCUUGAAGCCUCUCUGGAAGAUUUUCUAAAAAAAAUUGCGGUAUUUUCUAAAGGAAUCCGUAGAGGGGUUUAUGGAAACAAUGUGAUGAUU
This is a non-coding RNA of Aedes albopictus (Asian tiger mosquito), 156 nucleotides long. The record is from Rfam. NCBI's taxonomy places the organism in Eukaryota, Metazoa, Arthropoda, Insecta, Diptera, Culicidae.